This 83-nucleotide transfer RNA is filed under the name Lactococcus lactis subsp. hordniae. RNAcentral describes it as "tRNA-Leu". The record is from RNAcentral. Lineage: Bacteria; Bacillati; Bacillota; Bacilli; Lactobacillales; Streptococcaceae.
GGAGGAAUACCCUACAUGAUAGGGGUCAAAAUAUAUUGACAAUCGUUUUAACGUAUGAGUGGGUUCAAGUCCUACCUCCUCCU